GGGAAAUGAACUUUCAUCUAGUCUUUGUAAGAAUGUGAGUAGCUGUCAUAUUUGGGAGAAGUAACUUAUAGAUAUUUUUAAAGACAAAAAUGCACACAUUCUUUGAUCCAAUAACCUUACUACUUCAGAGAAAUAAAGGCACUAAUACAUAAGGGGAAAUAUACAAAGGUAGAUAUUGCAGCAGUGAUUUUAAAAAAAAUGGGAAUUUGAGGAUCAUAAAUGUUCAUCUCUUCAGGGAUAACUGAAUAAUGUACAGUGCAUUUUUAAUGUUAAGUAGUAUAAAGCCACUGAAAAUGAAGACUCAGAUUUAUAUUUAUUGACUUGAAAGGAUCCACAUUUUAGGGAAAAAAUUAAGUGUAUUUUGUUGAGGUUUAGAAAAAGUUAUGGAAACAAAUACCUCAAGCUGCUGACAUUGGUUACUUCAAGAGGAUGAGUUCAUCUCUGGGCAGCUGCCUUUGAUGAGUGAUUCCAUGCCAGAGAAGGACAGGGAGGACAAUAUGUGGACAUAAAAGGACUCAGCAAGGAGACACUGGAGGGGAGUCCUGAUGAGGAAGACGGAACCACGGACAUCUUCUUGUCACCUUUCUCCAUGGGAUCUGAGCUUGGAGUAUGACUGAGCCUUUGGUGAAACCCUGAGCCACAGCACAUGUUCAGGCAUCUCUGGGGUGCCCUAGGAUCUUGCCCCCAUCCUAUGACCACUCCUAGUUUGGGGUCUAAGCAGUGUCAUGAAGAGGAAGCAAAGAUAGCAAGCACAACAUGGUUGCACAAGCCCUGCUUUCAUAUACACUGACUCCAUUCUGGAGAAAGGAAAUGGAAGGAAAGAAGAGUUAAAAAUGGAACCUGUAUUCCCUAAACCCUGAGUCAUUCAAAAGAGACCAUGUACAGUGGAACAGAUGGUAGAUGAACUUGUAAGUUGGCAAGUUUUGAGUUUGGUUUCUCUUCAACUCUC
Molecule: long non-coding RNA, 949 nt
Filed under: Heterocephalus glaber (naked mole-rat)
Lineage: Eukaryota; Metazoa; Chordata; Mammalia; Rodentia; Bathyergidae
Description: lncRNA (ENSHGLG00100027547.2)
Source: RNAcentral